RNAcentral lists this ribosomal RNA (854 nucleotides) under uncultured bacterium. RNAcentral describes it as "bacterial SSU rRNA". It matches the Rfam family "Bacterial small subunit ribosomal RNA", at positions 8 to 842 of the family's 1533-position model. The record is from RNAcentral.
AGAGUUUGAUCCUGGCUCAGGACGAACGCUGGCGGCGUGCCUAAUACAUGCAAGUCGAGCGAACUGAUAAGGAGCUUGCUCCUUUGACGUUAGCGGCGGACGGGUGAGUAACACGUGGGCAACCUACCUGUAAGACUGGGAUAACUUCGGGAAACCGGAGCUAAUACCGGAUGAAUCUUUUCUUCGCAUGAAGAAGAGAUAAAAGAUGGUUUCGGCUAUCGCUUACAGAUGGGCCCGCGGCGCAUUAGCUAGUUGGUGAGGUAAGAGCUCACCAAGGCAACGAUGCGUAGCCGACCUGAGAGGGUGAUCGGCCACACUGGGACUGAGACACGGCCCAGACUCCUACGGGAGGCAGCAGUAGGGAAUCUUCCGCAAUGGACGAAAGUCUGACGGAGCAACGCCGCGUGAGCGAUGAAGGUCUUCGGAUCGUAAAGCUCUGUUAUUAGGGAAGAACAAGUAUCGGAGUAACUGCCGGUACCUUGACGGUACCUAACCAGAAAGCCACGGCUAACUACGUGCCAGCAGCCGCGGUAAUACGUAGGUGGCAAGCGUUGUCCGGAAUUAUUGGGCGUAAAGCGCGCGCAGGCGGUCCUUUAAGUCUGAUGUGAAAGCCCACGGCUCAACCGUGGAGGGUCAUUGGAAACUGGAGGACUUGAGUGCAGAAGAGGAGAGUGGAAUUCCACGUGUAGCGGUGAAAUGCGUAGAGAUGUGGAGGAACACCAGUGGCGAAGGCGACUCUCUGGUCUGUAACUGACGCUGAGGCGCGAAAGCGUGGGUAGCGAACAGGAUUAGAUACCCUGGUAGUCCACGCCGUAAACGAUGAGUGCUAAGUGUUAGGGGGUUUCCGCCCCUUA